This 1064-nucleotide ribosomal RNA is filed under the name uncultured Actinomyces sp. RNAcentral describes it as "bacterial SSU rRNA". It matches the Rfam family "Bacterial small subunit ribosomal RNA", at positions 80 to 1115 of the family's 1533-position model. Lineage: Bacteria; Bacillati; Actinomycetota; Actinomycetes; Actinomycetales; Actinomycetaceae. The record is from RNAcentral.
GGGUUCUGGGGGUUAGUGGCGAACGGGUGAGUAACACGUGAGUAACCUGCCCUUCACUUCUGGAUAACCGCUUGAAAGGGUGGCUAAUACGGGAUGUUUCUGGGUCUGUCGCAUGGCGGGUUCGGGAAAGAUGGCACUGUUUGGUGUUUUUGGUGGGGGAUGGGCUCGCGGCCUAUCAGCUUGUUGGUGGGGUGAUGGCCUGCCAAGGCUUUGACGGGUAGCCGGCCUGAGAGGGUGGGCGGUCACACUGGGACUGAGAUACGGCCCAGACUCCUACGGGAGGCAGCAGUGGGGAAUAUUGCACAAUGGGCGGAAGCCUGAUGCAGCGACGUCGCGUGAGGGAUGGAGGCCUUCGGGUUGUGAACCUCUUUCGCCAGUGAGGAAGGCCUUGCCCGUGUGGUGGGGUUGACGGUAGCUGGGUUAAUUGAAGCGCCGGCUAACUACGUGCCAGCAGCCGCGGUAAUACGUAGGGCGCGAGCGUUGUCCGGAAUUAUUGGGCGUAAAGGGCUUGUAGGCGGUUGGUCGCGUCUGCCGUGAAAUCCUCUGGCUCAGCUGGGGGCGUGCGGUGGGUACGGGCUGGCUUGAGUGCGGUAGGGGAGGCUGGAACUCCUGGUGUAGCGGUGGAAUGCGCAGAUAUCAGGAGGAACACCGGUGGCGAAGGCGGGUCUCUGGGCCGUUACUGACGCUGAGGAGCGAAAGCGUGGGGAGCGAACAGGAUUAGAUACCCUGGUAGUCCACGCUGUAAACGUUGGGCACUAGGUGUGGGGGGUCUUUCCGGGUCCUCCGCGCCGUAGCUAACGCAUUAAGUGCCCCGCCUGGGGAGUACGGCCGCAAGGCUAAAACUCAAAGGAAUUGACGGGGGCCCGCACAAGCGGCGGAGCAUGCGGAUUAAUUCGAUGCAACGCGAAGAACCUUACCAAGGCUUGACAUGUGCCGGUUGUCCUUCGGAGACGGAGGGUCCUCCCUUUGCGGGGGUCGGUUCACAGGUGGUGCAUGGUUGUCGUCAGCUCGUGUCGUGAGAUGUUGGGUUAAGUCCCGCAACGAGCGCAACCCUUGUCCCGUGU